AUCCCGGGCUGCUCGGUUUAGUGAGGGUCUCCCCCUCCUCAUCUCUUUGCACCUGCGAUCCAGGGAAGUCAAUGAAUAGUUCCGUUUUAUCAUUUAUUAGGCUUUAAUGCCGUGAUAGGAAAUAGGGUGAGAGAUCCUUACUUGUUUUGGAGUCUGAAAUCGGGUUCUCACUGCGCCUACGGGCAGUCCCUAGAUUCCUUAAAUUUUUUUCAGAAAUUGAAACACACUUUCCGUACCUACACAUGUCCCCAAAAAAUCUCAAAUCAGACCCAGGGCCCUUUCGGCCAAUUACAGAAAACUGAGGCUUAUCAGCGACGGGGCUCUCGGGUGCGUCGGCUCCUCCGGCGCGAGUUGCAGUUUGGUGUUUUGCU
RNAcentral lists this long non-coding RNA (371 nucleotides) under Carica papaya (papaya). Its description in RNAcentral is "long non-coding RNA (CPAP_LNC012355)". Lineage: Eukaryota; Viridiplantae; Streptophyta; Magnoliopsida; Brassicales; Caricaceae. The record is from RNAcentral.